GGCAUGGUGGUGCAGUGGGUAGCACUGUCGCCUCACAGCAAGUAGGUUCUGGGUUCAAAUCCAGCCUGAGCCU
This 73-nucleotide transfer RNA is filed under the name Anguilla anguilla (European eel). RNAcentral's name for it is "tRNA-OTHER". The record is from RNAcentral. Lineage: Eukaryota; Metazoa; Chordata; Actinopteri; Anguilliformes; Anguillidae.